UCUCCGUUGGUGAACCAGCGGAGGGAUCAUUACCAGAGUUUUACAACUCCCAACCCUUCUGUGAACCUACCUAUCGUUGCUUCGGCGGACUCGCCCCAGCGUCCGGACGGCCCCGCGCCGGCCCGCGACCUGGACCCAGGCGGCCGCCGGAGACCACACAAUCCAGUAUCCAUCAGUCUCUCUGAGUCCGCCGCAAGGCAAAACAAACGAAUCAAAACUUUCAACAAUGGAUCUCUUGGUUCUG
Molecule: unclassified non-coding RNA, 244 nt
Filed under: plant metagenome
Description: partial contains small subunit ribosomal RNA, internal transcribed spacer 1, and 5.8S ribosomal RNA
Source: RNAcentral